GAUGAACGCUGGCGGCGUGCUUAACACAUGCAAGUCGAACGAUGAAGCCCAGCUUGCUGGGUGGAUUAGUGGCGAACGGGUGAGUAACACGUGAGUAACCUGCCCUUAACUCUGGGAUAAGCCUGGGAGACUGGGUCUAAUACCGGAUAGGGGCGCCUACCGCAUGGUGGGUGUUGGAAAGAUUUAUCGGUUUUGGGUGGACUCGCGGCCUAUCAGCUUGUUGGUGGGGUAAUGGCUCACCAAGGCGACGACGGGUAGCCGGCCUGAGAGGGUGACCGGCCACACUGGGACUGAGACACGGCCCAGACUCCUACGGGAGGCAGCAGUGGGGAAUAUUGCACAAUGGGCGAAAGCCUGAUGCAGCGACGCCGCGUGAGGGAUGACGGCCUUCGGGUUGUAAACCUCUUUCAGUAGGGAAGAAGCGAAAGUGACGGUACCUGCAGAAGAAGCACCGGCUAACUACGUG
Molecule: ribosomal RNA, 466 nt
Filed under: uncultured bacterium
Lineage: Bacteria
Description: partial 16S ribosomal RNA
Rfam family: Bacterial small subunit ribosomal RNA
Source: RNAcentral